GCACAUGAAGAAAUUAAUGAAGACCAUCCAGUGGAAAUUCAUGAAUAUUUGUCAAUGCUUGAGAAUUACACUGGUGCUGUGGAUAAUAUGCUAAAGACCAUGAUGUCUGUUUCUUGAAAUGAGUUGUUGCAGAAGUUGGACCCACUUAAACAAGUGAAAGUGGAUUUAGUUUCUAUGUACACAUUAAAUUUAAAGUUUUGAGUUUAUUUGGCAACUCAAGGAGUUAAUACUAAGAAACAGCUAGUAAAGCAGGAAGGAAUUGGAAAGAAUCAGAAUAUAUAUGAACACAGUCAAGGAAAUAACAGAAAAAGGCUGGCAAGCUGGACAGAGGUACAUCUUCAACAUUUGUAAAAAAUGACCUCUGGGAACUGAAACCUAAAAAU
RNAcentral lists this long non-coding RNA (383 nucleotides) under Homo sapiens (human). RNAcentral's name for it is "non-protein coding lnc-RAB30-4:1". Lineage: Eukaryota; Metazoa; Chordata; Mammalia; Primates; Hominidae. The record is from RNAcentral.